CGGGGAGUAGCUCAAUUGGUAGAGCACCCGUCUCAUACGCGGGAGUGCGCAGGUUCGAGCCCUGCCUCCCCUACCA
Molecule: transfer RNA, 76 nt
Filed under: Chloroflexota bacterium
Lineage: Bacteria; Bacillati; Chloroflexota
Description: Chloroflexi bacterium tRNA-Met
Rfam family: tRNA
About the family: Transfer RNA (tRNA) molecules are approximately 80 nucleotides in length. Their secondary structure includes four short double-helical elements and three loops (D, anti-codon, and T loops).
Source: RNAcentral